UAUAUUAUAGACUAAUAGGUAAGUUAUAAAUUUUUGAUAUUUACCGAUAAGUGUUCGAAUCACUUUAAUAUAA
Molecule: non-coding RNA, 73 nt
Organism: Sodiomyces alkalinus F11
Lineage: Eukaryota; Fungi; Ascomycota; Sordariomycetes; Glomerellales; Plectosphaerellaceae
Source: the annotation of a RefSeq genome assembly